RNAcentral lists this ribosomal RNA (501 nucleotides) under uncultured bacterium. Its description in RNAcentral is "partial 16S ribosomal RNA". It matches the Rfam family "Bacterial small subunit ribosomal RNA", at positions 30 to 523 of the family's 1533-position model. The record is from RNAcentral.
AUUGAACGCUGGCGGCAUGCCUUACACAUGCAAGUCGAACGGCAGCACGGGUGCUUGCACCUGGUGGCGAGUGGCGAACGGGUGAGUAAUAUAUCGGAACGUACCUUAUCGUGGGGGAUAACGCAGCGAAAGCUGUGCUAAUACCGCAUAAGCCCUAAGGGGGAAAGCAGGGGACCGUAAGGCCUUGCGCGAUUAGAGCGGCCGAUACCUGAUUAGCUGGUUGGUGAGGUAAAGGCUCACCAAGGCAACGAUCAGUAGCUGGUCUGAGAGGACGAUCAGCCACACUGGGACUGAGACACGGCCCAGACUCCUACGGGAGGCAGCAGUGGGGAAUUUUGGACAAUGGGGGCAACCCUGAUCCAGCAAUGCCGCGUGAGUGAAGAAGGCCUUCGGGUUGUAAAGCUCUUUUGUCAGGGAAGAAACAGCAGCUCUAACACAGUAUGCGAAUGACGGUACCUGAAGAGUAAGCACCGGCUAACUACGUGCCAGCAGCCGCCGUAA